RNAcentral lists this ribosomal RNA (141 nucleotides) under uncultured bacterium. RNAcentral's name for it is "partial 16S rRNA". It matches the Rfam family "Bacterial small subunit ribosomal RNA", at positions 355 to 511 of the family's 1533-position model. The record is from RNAcentral.
UGGGGAAUUUUCCGCAAUGGGCGAAAGCCUGACGGAGCAAUGCCGCGUGGAGGUGGAAGGCCUACGGGUCGUCGAACUUCUUUUCUCGGAGAGAAACAAUGACGGUAUCUGAGGAAUAAGCAUCGGCUAACUCUGUGCCAG